CGUACACUCCUACGGGAGGCAGCAGUGGGGAAUUUUACGCAAUGGGGGAAACCCUGACGUAGCGACACCACGUGAGCGAAGAAGCCCUUUGGGGUGUAAAGCUCUGUCAGCUGGAACGAAAACAAUGACGGUACCAGCAGAGGAAGCAUCGGCUAACUACGUGCCAGCAGCCGCGGUAAGACGUAGGAUGCGAGCGUUGUCCGGAUUUAUUGGGCGUAAAGAGUUCGUAGGUGGUUUGUUAAGUUUGGUGUUAAAGAUCGGGGCUCAACCCUGGGACUGCACUGAAUACUGGCAGACUCGAGUGUGGUAGAGGCUAGUGGAAUUCCCAGUGUAGCGGUGAAAUGCGUAGAUAUUGGGAAGAACACCGGUGGCGUAGGCGACUAGCUGGGCCAUAACUGACGCUGAGGAACGAAAGCCAGGGGAGCGAAUGGGAUUAGAAACCCUAGUAGUCCCA
Molecule: ribosomal RNA, 454 nt
Filed under: uncultured organism
Description: partial 16S ribosomal RNA
Rfam family: Bacterial small subunit ribosomal RNA
Source: RNAcentral